This 4437-nucleotide unclassified non-coding RNA is filed under the name Hevea brasiliensis (rubber tree). Lineage: Eukaryota; Viridiplantae; Streptophyta; Magnoliopsida; Malpighiales; Euphorbiaceae. The record is from RNAcentral.
AUAAAAAAAAAAAAAGAUGGCGGAGGUGGAGAAGAAGCUCGGAAACAGUGGCGGAGCCGGAGCUCCGAUUGAGAAGGUGAAUCCGAAACCGAGAAAAGGACUCACUUCAAAGCUUGUUGACUUGCUGGAAAAGCUGAUCGUGAAAUUAAUGUUUGAUGCCUCUAAGCCUCUCCACUAUCUCUCCGGUAACUUUGCCCCGGUUCCCGAUGAAACUCCUCCCGUCAAAGACCUUCCUGUCAAAGGUUACCUUCCUGAUUGCUUGAAUGGGGAGUUUGUGAGGGUAGGUCCUAAUCCAAAGUUUACACCUGUGGCUGGAUACCACUGGUUUGAUGGAGAUGGCAUGAUUCAUGGUAUGCGCAUCAAAGAUGGUAAGGCUAAUUAUGUCCGCCGCUAUGUGAGGACAUCACGUCUUCAACAAGAAGAGUUUUUUGGAGGUUCCAAAUUUAUGAAGAUAGGAGAUCUUAAGGGGCUGUUUGGAUUACUGAUGGUUAGCAUGCAAAUGCUGAGAGCAAAGCUGAAAUUAUUGGAUAUGUCAUAUGGACAGGGGACGGCUAAUACAGCUCUAAUUUACCACCAUGGAAAGCUCUUAGCACUUCAAGAGGCAGAUAAACCCUAUGUGGUAAAAGUUAUGGAAGAUGGAGAUCUGCAAACUGUUGGCUUGUUGGAUUAUGACAAGAGACUUAAGCAUUCCUUCACUGCUCAUCCAAAGGUCGAUCCAUUCACUGGAGAGAUGUUUACAUUUGGCUAUUCACAUGAACCCCCGUACAUAACUUACAGAGUUAUUUCAAAGGAUGGUGUCAUGCAUGAGCCGGUACCAAUAACCAUAUCAGACCCCAUCAUGAUGCAUGAUUUUGCAAUCACUGAGAAUUAUGCAAUUUUUUUGGAUCUUCCCCUGUACUUCAGGCCAAAGGAAAUGGUGAAAGACAAGAAGCUGAUAUUCACAUUUGAUGAUACAAAAAAAGCUCGGUUUGGUGUUCUUCCUCGUUAUGCAAAGGAUGACCAUCUAAUCAGAUGGUUUGAGCUUCCAAAUUGCUUCAUAUUCCACAAUGGUGAGGCCACUUACUUUUCAACAUCUAUUUAACAUGCCAACAACAUUCCUUUAAGUUGAUCUCAGAUUACCUGUAUCUAUAAAUUUUGAUAUAGGCAUGCUUAGACAGCUCGCAAAGUAAUUUAAGGUUUUCAUGCUAGAUCCUGGUUUUUGGCAUUAGCAAGAAAAUUGAUAUUUAGUGUUAACAGCUUAUAUCAAGCCUCGUAAUCUUAUAUACACAUACCUAGGCAAAUUUCUUUAUAGCCAGCUUGUGUUUGGCUCUUCAUAUAUUAUUUCAAUCACCGUGUGGCUAUUGUAUAAAAAUUAGUGAAUACAAAAUAGUAAGUUAAAAUAUGCAAACAAGUUACUAUAGAUUAUUAGAUUUAGACUUUGUCUUCAUUUUGGAUUCAUCACGAAGCUAGAAAAAUUAUUUGGUUUGGAUGGGCGUGAGAGUUUGCUGGCUUGUCUUUGGAGUUGUUUGGAGUCCACGAAGUUGGCAUUUCUUUUGCUAUAGUACACAAUCCAUUGCCAUCUGGAACUUGCCUAUAGCUUUUAUACUUUCAUAGAUGCUUUAUAAUGGAAUAUAAAUAUGUAACAACUCCUGUUGGCUUAUGGCAAAGCCAAUCUACAACUGUCCAUUCUGACUUAUUACCUACUCUGUACUAGCCAAUGCUUGGGAGGAGGGGGAUGAAGUUGUUUUGAUCACUUGCCGUCUUGAGAAUCCAGAUCUAGACCUGGUCAGUGGGACCGUCAAAGAAAAACUUGAGAAUUUUGCAAAUGAACUGUAUGAGAUGAGGUUCAACAUGAAAACUGGCAUGGCUUCUCAAAAGAGACUAUCAGCAUCUGCUGUUGAUUUUCCUAGGGUGAAUGAGAGCUACACUGGCAGGAAGCAAAGAUAUGUCUACGGAACCAUUCUGGAUAGCAUUGCCAAGGUAACUGGGAUUAUCAAAUUUGACCUGCAUGCUGAACCCCAGCAAGGGAAAACAAAGCUUGAAGUUGGAGGAAAUAUUGAAGGCAUCUUUGAUCUGGGACCUGGUAGAUUUGGUUCAGAAGCUAUAUUUGUUCCCCGGGAGCCUGGCUCCAGUUCUGAGGAAGAUGAUGGCUACUUGAUAUUCUUUGCGCAUGAUGAAAACACUGGAAAAUCAUCAGUGAAUGUGAUUGAUGCAAAAACAAUGUCAAGUGAUCCUGUUGCAGUUGUUGAAUUACCCCAUAGGGUUCCAUAUGGAUUCCAUGCCUUCUUUGUGACAGAGGAACAACUUCAAGAACAGGCAACACUGUAAUUGUUCAAAAGCAGAGAACAUGGGACUUCUGAGUCAAAAAUAGCAGAUCUUGUGUCAAAUAGAUAUCCAGGAGGCAAAGUGAGGUCCAUUAUAGAGUAUAAAUUUGUUACCUCAUCGUCUGACAUAUAAAAACGUUAAUUGUAAUUUCUCUAUCAAUUAAGAGAUGCUACUUUAGUACUUUAAUCACUGUUCAGUGCCCUAGCUAAAUGGAUAAAGAAGGAAUCAAUUAUUCACUCCCCAUAUUAUCACAUCGUUGGAAAUGAUUUUUAUGCAAGCCAUAAAUUUCAUGUUCAUGAACCAUGACCCAGCAAUUUCCUUGCCCCAUUAAAUUCGACUCUCAGUAGCCUUAUCAAGACGGAGCCAACCCCUCCCUAUUGCUUCAACAAUAAACCAAGAAAGAAACAAACUUCAUUUGACAGGAGAUGCACGACUCAGCUAUUGACAUGCAAAUUUACUAUAUAAAACCUUCCUGGUAUAAGAAGAUGCAACUGAAAACUGCAUAUAUGAAUACAACAUGAGAACAUCUGCAUUAUCUGAGUGAGUUCCCGUAGAUUAGACUAAAAACUGUUUGUCAACACAAGUCUAUCUUCACUUCAAGAUUUCCAUCUAGUCCGCAUGCCCUUAGAAGCAUCAGCAUCGGACAUUAUCCGUGCUUUCUUCCGAGAGAAACAGAUAGUUUGGAAAAAUGCUGCAAUGCCAAAGCAUAUGUAUGUUGUGUCUUAACCCAACUCAAAUCAGGUGGGAGUUGCCUGCAUGAAUCAUUUCCUUCAAUUGCCCGUUUGUCAUGUUUUCCUGAGAUGCACAGAUAUUAAAUCCUUUCUUGCAACUCCAAGAAAGUGCAACCGUCUUCUCCAAAGUGAAUAUUAUAGCAAGAAACAAAUUUCCAAAACAGUUAAACAUAAUCCUUCAACUCCAAGGGAAAAGAAGAAAACUUUUUUCCAUAAUUCCAUCCAUAAUUCCAUAUUCAUAUCAAAUUCCAUUUAUAACAUAAGGGAUUCAUCCAGACUCAUCUCAUCCAACAACUUACAUAAAUGUAAACCUUCUAUCAGAAUCAUUUUUCAUAACACAAAUGUAAUUUCUAACACUUGGAUAACAGCAGGAAUGAGCAUUCAAAAGCAAAAAAAUUCUAAAUAAACAAGGUAAGAUAAUCACAUCAGGAUUCGCUCAUUUGAUAAGUAAGGUUUUAUAAAGUAAAUUUUUCAAAGUAAAGUUUUUUUAUAGCUCUCAAACCUUUAAAUUUUUUAGUGUUUAGAAAGGUGGGAAUGUUUAUUAUGGCAUUUGAAGGUUGUAAUGAGAAAAUCUUGCUAAUCCACCAAUUUGGUGAGUUGUAAAAUAGAGAUCCAAACACACAAGUUCAUGGUUUUUAAAAGUUGACAAACCUCCCAUUACUUUAAGAUACUCUCCCAAAAAUCAAGGGUUUAAAGCCAAGCCUUUCCUAAGCACCAAAAUCAUUUAAACUUUGACAUUUAUACACAAACAAAUCAAAAGCUUCACAGCAUGGCUCAAAGCCUCAAACUAAAGGAUGCUUAACACACACAAUAGAUGUAAAAUGUCUCCAAUUUAAACUAUCCAAUCAAAGCAAACUACAUCCUAAUUUUUCUCACUCAAAAAUUAAAAAUCAAAGCUUUUUUUCUAGAAAAAAAAACAAUAAUUUUUAAAGAAAAAAGCAUAACCCAAUACAUAAAUACACAACAUUAAGCAAGGGGGGGAGGGGUGGGGGGAAUAACAAAAGAUAAAAUAAAAAAAAUUCCUUUGAAAUGAAGAAGGAAAAAAAAGAUAUCCCUCGGCAUUUCGCCCAAUUUCCACCUGGUACAUGAAACCACGAAAUGGUUCCUCAACCUCUUUGCAUUCAUUUAAUGUCUGCACAAAGGGAGCGUCCUUUUUUUUUCUUGAUAAAGAAAAAUUAUUUCAUGUACAUUUUUCAGAUUACUAAAUUUCUCGUCACCGGGAUAUCACAAAUGCAUCUGUAUAAAGUAGAAGAAAUACUCAACAAAAACGAAACAAAAAGAGAAGCAGAUGAAGAGAGCAAGACCCAUGAUCUGAAAUUGAGAUUUAUGAGUUCAUCGGCGGCUGAAUGGUUUGGAUAAGAGAAGGGUUUUGGCGAAGAAGAGGUGAUAACUGGCAAGCAAU